Quaeritorhiza haematococci is the source of this 74-nucleotide non-coding RNA. Lineage: Eukaryota; Fungi; Chytridiomycota; Chytridiomycetes; Quaeritorhizaceae. The record is from the annotation of a GenBank genome assembly.
UCCCAGGUAGUAUAGUGGCUAGUAUACUCGCCUGUCACGCGAGUGACCAAGGUUCGCGAUUCCCCGCCUGGGAG